UCUCGGCCGAUUUCCUGCACCGGCGCUAGUGCUGCUGCUGUUUUGCUGCGUGUCCUUCUCGCGUCUACAUCGUCCAUCUCUGACACUAUUUCCAUCAUGGUGGACGUUUUGUUGUUAAUGUUUUUCGCCAUCAUUGGCCUCGUCUUCCUUUCCUAUAUCAUCUACUUGCUGUGACGAUGAUGAUGAUGAUGAUGAAGCAUUCUGCUCAGCCUGCACACAGGCGUACACAGGAUGUGUGUUUUGUCUCCUGCAUCCCUGGUUUCCAUCAUGGACAGUGGGAGAAGAGCCGGGGUCCAGCCGUGAUGGUUUCCCCAUUGGAGCUCUUAUGUGGGAGGUGAAGACCAAUCCAGCUGAGAGGGAAAACAAAUGGACAAGAAGUGGAAGCCAAACUCUCCCUGCCUCUUUGUCUCCUACUUGCACUCUGUCAAUCCCCCCUCAUUCUCCUUCUUUAUUUGUUCAGGAUCCUCCAACAAAAUGUCACUACUCCAAGAGCUACCACUUACUUAUUUGCAAUAAGUGUAACCAGUGUAUUUUCUAUGCUCCUCAAGCUUGUGCAUGUUUCUCUUUAAAGGAGGAGAAAUGUUCCCUCUGCACAAGCGUAAUAAAUCCAUAGACAUUCGAUUCCGGGUGGUUUUGUAGGUUUAAGCGUAAUACAGGUGUGUAAUAGCCUUUUUAACAACACUGAGCUAGUUUUUGGUUCUAGCUAUAAUGUGUAAUGUUCAGUUUGACUAUCAUCCUUAUGACUGUGUGGCCAACCCUUCUGUACUCGUGUUUUGUUUAUCAAAGAGUUGGAGAGCUUCAGCCUUUUAUAUGUCAGAGAUGGUGUGCUUGGUUUGAUUGGUUGGCUCAGCUUUGACAUUGGUGUUAUUAUAUUACUUUAUUCACGUGUUGCCAAUAUGUUCUUCCCCUCACUACAAUCAAGAUUCCCCGUCAGGUUAAAGGAGAAUGUGUCAGUUAUAUAGUGUUCUAUACUUUAAGAGUGAUUCUUGACUGUUUUUGUUUUGGCUAAAAAUGACAUCCAUGAGGAGCAGUAAUGUCAUUUCAGAAAUACAUCCACUAUAUGUGCUUCUCAGUUUUACCACCAAACCUCAUUAUCUAUUAUCUGUUAUAUAUAAAUAAUGUUAAGUUUACUGAUGCACUGAUGAUUUACUGAGGUUAAUGUCAAUAUGACAUGAUAUGUCAAAUAAAGAUGAUUUCAGUAAACCCA
This is a long non-coding RNA of Perca fluviatilis (European perch), 1207 nucleotides long. RefSeq lists it as uncharacterized. NCBI's taxonomy places the organism in Eukaryota, Metazoa, Chordata, Actinopteri, Perciformes, Percidae. The transcript is spliced from 2 exons. The record is from RefSeq and is a predicted model, not a curated record.